RNAcentral lists this ribosomal RNA (414 nucleotides) under uncultured bacterium. Its description in RNAcentral is "bacterial SSU rRNA". It matches the Rfam family "Bacterial small subunit ribosomal RNA", at positions 345 to 758 of the family's 1533-position model. The record is from RNAcentral.
GAGGCAGCAGUGAGGAAUAUUGGUCAAUGGACGCGAGUCUGAACCAGCCAAGUAGCGUGAAGGAUGACUGCCUAUGGGUUGUAAACUUCUUUUAUAUGGGAAUAAGUUUUCCACGUGUGGAAUUUUGUAUGUACCAUAUGAAUAAGGAUCGGCUAACUCCGUGCCAGCAGCCGCGGUAAUACGGAGGAUCCGAGCGUUAUCCGGAUUUAUUGGGUUUAAAGGGAGCGUAGGUGGACAGUUAAGUCAGUUGUGAAAGUUUGCGGCUCAACCGUAAAAUUGCAGUUGAUACUGGCUGUCUUGAGUACAGUAGAGGUGGGCGGAAUUCGUGGUGUAGCGGUGAAAUGCUUAGAUAUCACGAAGAACUCCGAUUGCGAAGGCAGCUCACUGGACUGCAACUGACACUGAUGCUCGAAA